RNAcentral lists this ribosomal RNA (254 nucleotides) under uncultured bacterium. RNAcentral's name for it is "partial 16S ribosomal RNA". It matches the Rfam family "Bacterial small subunit ribosomal RNA", at positions 524 to 776 of the family's 1533-position model. The record is from RNAcentral.
UACGUAGGUGGCAAGCGUUUGUCCGGAUUUACUGGGCGUAAAGAGCGCGCAGGCGGUCGUUCAAGUCGCGUGUGAAAGCCCCCGGCUCAACUGGGGAGGGUCACGCGAUACUGAUCGACUCGAAGGCAGGAGAGGGUAGUGGAAUUCCCGGUGUAGUGGUGAAAUGCGUAGAUAUCGGGAGGAACACCAGUGGCGAAGGCGAGUCUCUGGACAUUUCCUGACGCUGAGGCACGAAAGCCAGGGGAGCAAACAGG